RNAcentral lists this unclassified non-coding RNA (240 nucleotides) under soil metagenome. RNAcentral describes it as "partial contains 5.8S ribosomal RNA, internal transcribed spacer 2, and large subunit ribosomal RNA". The record is from RNAcentral.
AACGGUCUAUACCUGCGGUACCUGCGGAAGGAUCAUUAUUGAAUAACUUGGUGUUGAGCUGGCCCUUGUCGGGCAUGUGCUCGCAUCAUAUUAUUUAUCUAUCUCUUGUGCACCUUUUGUAGUCUUUGAAGUGUUCGCAGUCAAUGCGGUAUUGGGUCUUGGGCUUUUGCCCUGUUCCCUGUUAGCUUCAAGGGCUAUGUUUAUAUACACUAGUUUGAAGUCACAGAAUGUAUCUUAUUG